This 409-nucleotide ribosomal RNA is filed under the name uncultured bacterium. Its description in RNAcentral is "bacterial SSU rRNA". It matches the Rfam family "Bacterial small subunit ribosomal RNA", at positions 541 to 952 of the family's 1533-position model. The record is from RNAcentral.
UUAUCCGGAUUUAUUGGGUUUAAAGGGAGCGUAGGCGGGUGCUUAAGUCAGUUGUGAAAGUAUGCGGCUCAACCGUAAAAUUGCAGUUGAUACUGGGUACCUUGAGUGCAGCAUAGGUAGGCGGAAUUCGUGGUGUAGCGGUGAAAUGCUUAGAUAUCACGAAGAACUCCGAUUGCGAAGGCAGCUUACUGGACUGUAACUGACGCUGAUGCUCGAAAGUGUGGGUAUCAAACAGGAUUAGAUACCCUGGUAGUCCACACAGUAAACGAUGAAUACUCGCUGUUGGCGAUACACAGUCAGCGGCCAAGCGAAAGCAUUAAGUAUUCCACCUGGGGAGUACGCCGGCAACGGUGAAACUCAAAGGAAUUGACGGGGGCCCGCACAAGCGGAGGAACAUGUGGUUUAAUUC